GUGAAAACCAUUUCUUAGCCAGGUUUGUUUGUAUUUGCAUUAAAUCAUAUAAACCAGAAGUUAAAUCUUUCUGUUUCUCUUCUACCUGUGCUAGACCUAUUAUUAAUCGAUAGGAAUCCAGUCUGUAAGUCAAUAAUCAAAAGUUGAACUUUAAUUUUCACCCUUUGUUGGUUGUUAGCUUUUUUACAUAGAAACACACUCACCAUGAUGGCAGUAAGAGCAGAAGUCAUAAGAUCUAACAAUUACUGACCACUAGCUACCAGCAUCCUAAUUUUUUUUUUAACACAUCAUCUUUUUCAUUCAUUACAUGACAGAGGGAUGUAGAUGUAAUUAUUAUCCUCAGGAUUCACGUGAGAAAACAGAGACCCAGGGAGGCAGCCAGCUAUUAGAACUCAAACUGUUAAGUUUGUCUCCAGGGCUGUGCUUCUGACCCCUGCCGGACUACCUACCAUAGAGACACGAUUCGUUCACCAAACAAAUACUAACUGAAAAUCUCCUGUGUGCAGAGUUCUCCCUGUUAGGCACAUCAAGCGAAAAGAUGGGCACCCCAAGGAAAAAGUAUAAGUGUGCCAGGACAGGGUCCUGAUUUCCAGAAAUAAAUCACAGCUUACCUAGUCAACACCUCAUUUUACCUAAUAUUUGACGACAUAAGUGGGACCUUCCCUUCUGUGAUGAUCAGGAAUGGAGAUUGGUAUUCUGUGGACUGAGGGGCUUGCAUAGGUCGUGUUACUACAUGAACUGACUGACUUGGAUUUGUGUGCCCUUAAAGAGGGGAGGUUCAACAAGACACUAAAGCAGAAUACUAGCAGGCUGAGACCCAGUGGGAAAGAAGAGUGAAACCCUGAACAAAGCCUGUCAAGGAUCAAAUUUUUACCAUGUUCUCAUUGCAAAGGAUAAUGUGUGAAAAAGAGGUGGUCUUUCACAUGGUGGGAAAUAUUCCAGAAGUGAAAAAGGGUGGGCAUGGACUCUGCGAUUCUGCUGGUCCUCUGUGUGGUGGAUCAUGGGGGACUCUCUUAUCUUUUGAAACCUUUUUUGUGGACACCCACUUUUAACCUCACUGGAAGUGCUGAGCCCUAUUCAAGGACCCAUAUGAAACCUCCUUUUGAAGAGAUUUCAAACUGUACACUCAUAAGUGUUUGGGAAAUUUAGUUUUGCUUUGGGUAGGCCCAACGCCUUGAGAACAGGUCUAUUGGUUUGUUAUAAUAGGUUAUUGUUACUUUACAUAUUAUAGAAACUCAAGGUUUUGCCUCAGAAUUUGCAUUGGGGUGAUCCUAAAAAGUUCAUAACGUGAUAUGAGCCAAGUAAAGGCAACAAUUGAAUUGGCUUGACUACUCAUCUAAUCUAAAGAUUUGUCCAAGCUCAACUGUGAUAGCCUCUGGGAGGUAUUAUUUCUUUGUUGUUUUGCUUUUUAAGCAGGAGGAGCCACAUGUACUGGAGGACAGUGAGAGGAAGACCUUCUGUGUUUUGAGUAUGUUUGAGAUGGGGUCACCAGUGUGCCUAGAUUCUUUUAUGAGGGUGCCUGAACAAGUUAUGAAAUUGGGAAAUCUUGCAUUGUGAUAAGCACUUGAGGGUCUGUUUCCUGUUUCUUCCUAUCUGUGGAUAAGGACUAUUUUGAAACUAGGAAUAAAUAGAGAAAUGAAGUCAUGCAUGCUACCAGCUCAAUUUUAACUGACUUGUCUUCUCUAUUUACUGCUAGUAUUAUUAUUAUCAUUGUUAUAUUUCUCAUGACAUUGGGAGAGUUUCAGCAAAGCAAUAGUGGAAAGCAAUGUGGAUUAGCAGACCAGCAUUCUGGCUCCUUUCUUUUGUCAUCUGUUGAAUAUCACUUUCAGCAAGCUUGGAUUGGGAACCAUUUUUUGAUGCCCACACCUGGUACCAGGCUGCGGAACUAUAAAGAUUGAUAUAAUAUGGUUCUAGUUCUAAAAUUCACCAGUGACUCACAAACAGCAAGAACAAGUGGAGAACUGGCAAGUGAAAAGUUGCAGUGCAAAGAAAAGGUGAUACCCUCAAAUGUACAUGUUUUCCAUGUGUAGAGGAAGAGUGUGGGAAAGAAGAAAUGUAAAUUUAGGCAAAAAAGUAGUUUAAGUACAGGACUUGAAGUAUUAAAAUAUAAGGCUUAUUUGAGGACAGGGUAGGACAAGAAGUAGAGUGUGACAAGAGAAUAUAGUUUGGAAGUGUUGUGUAGAGUUGGCAUGAUGAGAGAUACUGGCCUUAGGAAAAUGGAUGAGGGGCUCAGCUGUGUAGGCUGUUAUGAGCCAUCAAAUGUUUUGGAGCAGGGCUGUAAUGUGAGCAGCUCUGUGUUUCAGAGGGAACACUGCUAACGUUUUAGAAAGUUUAAGCUUGAAAAAAGACAAUGUGUUCAGCAACGUGCAGUGCAAACUUGUAAUUUGGUACCCUUUUUGAUAGAAUACAUUUUCCCUUUUUAAAAAGAGACUUUUCAGCCCAGAAUGUAUUGGCUGCCUUCCUAUACAUGGUUAAAUAAUAAUAGAAGGUGAGAAACAUUUAUUUUCCACAAAUCAAAUUCAAUUAGACAAUGUUUAAACUUCCCUAAUUGUAUUUACUAAUUGGUACUUAUUUAAACUCCUUAGAGAGUAGACAAUUUUAGAAGGGACGGACUUCUUUUCUCUCAAAAACAUUGAAUAUGAACACUAGGAGCUGAAUGGAGAUAUAUGUAAAAUAAUUUUGAACAAAUGAUUAUUAUAAUGGGGUUACCAAAAGCUUAUACAAAUCAGUAAAAAGUUAAAUAAUUCAGUAGCAAAAUAAGCAGAAGACCUUACUAGGUAAUUCAAAAGUAGUACACUAAACAUAUAUAAAACCAAGUUACCUAAAUAGUUACUAAAAUGCAUAUUAAAAUAAUGAGACGCCAGUUUUUCACAUACCAAAAAAGAAUUUUUUUAACUGGAAUUUUUUAAACUUUUUAUUUAUUAUUCUUUAAGUUCUAGGGUACAUGUGCAUAGCGUGGAGGUUUGUUAUAGUCAGGAACCUCAGGCUUCAGGUCUGUUGGAGUUUGCUGGAGGUCCACUCCAGACUCUGUUUGCCUGGGUACCAGUAGAGGCUGCAGAGCAACAGAUAUUGCAGAACAGCAAAUGUUGCUGCCUGAUCCUUCCUCUGGAAGCUUCGUCUCAGAGGGGCACCCGGCUGUAUGAGAUGUCAGUUGGCCCCUACAGGGAGUUGUCUCCCAGUUAGGCUACUCGGGGGUCAGGGAGCCACUUGAAGAGGCAGUCUGUCUAUUCUCAGAUCUCAAACUCUGUGCUGGGAGAACCACUACUCUCUUCAAAGCUGUCAGACAGGGAUGUUUAAGUCUGCAGAAGUUUCUGCUACCUUUUCUUCAGCUAUGCCCUGCCCCCAGAGGCACAGUCUACAGAGGCAGGCAGGCCUCCUUGAGCUGCAGUGGGCUCCAACCAAUUCAAACUUCCCGGCUGCUUUGUUUACCUAGUCAAGCCUCAGCGAUGGUGGACGCCCCUCCCCCAACCUCGCUGCCACCUUGCAGUUUGAUCUCGGACUGCUGUGCUAGCAGUGAGCAAGGCUCCAUGGGCAUGGGACCCUCCGUGCCAGGCACAGGAUAUAAUCUCCUGGUGUGCCGUUUGCUAAGACCGUUGGAAAAGUGUAGCAUUAGGGUGGGAGUGUCCCAAUUUUCCAAGUACCAUCUGUCACGGCUUCCCUUGCCUAGGAAAGGGAAUUCCCCGACCCCUUGCGCUUUCUGGGUGAGGUGAUGCCCUACCCUGCUUCAGCUCACACUCCAUGGGCUGCACCCACUGUCUAACAAGUCACAGUGAGAUGAACCCAGUACCUCAGUUGGAAAUGCAGAAAUCACCUGUCUUCUGCGUCACUCAUGCUGGGAGCCGUAGACUGGAGCUGUUCCUAUUCGGCCAUCUUGGAACCCCGGAAAAUACUUUUUAAAAUAACAUGUUCCAUUAAACUCUUCAUAAAUGAUAAUUGUAGGGAAACAAGAGCUUUCUAACACUGUUACCGGAAGUACAAUUUGAUGUCAUAUUUGUAUAUGGCAGGUUUUACACUGUGCAUCAGCAGCCUUUAAAAUGUGCUACAUUUCUUAAUAUAGUAAUUUUAACUAAUAUAUUAAUUUUAACAUAAUGAAGUGGAAUCACUUGUUUGGGGUGAAUGCCUGAGGUUCAUCAUCUCAUACCAAGGAAAUCGAGUACAUGGACACAGAAAAACUUGGUUUAGGAGCAGAGGUUUAAUAGGCAAAAGAAAGAGAAAGGAGAAUAGCUCUCUCUCCUGAGAAAGAGUGGGACUUUUAGCUUGCAGAGAAGUGCACUGGAUUUUACAGACUGCCUUCAGGAGGCAGUGUCUGAUUUACAUAGGGGCCAAAGAUUGGCUGGAUCAGGUAUGGAUGUUUACACAGCUUAGGAGGAAGCUAGCUAAUCUUCAAUUAUGCAAAUGGAGCACUUGCCAGCACCAUGUUGCCUGUUCGUUACUCUACACGUGGUUUACAAAGAAAAGGGAAGAUGGAGCCACCAUUUUGAACAUGUGUCCUUUCCAGGUAGCUCCUUUUCCUAUUAGCAGAGCUGCAGGCAUUUAUUCAUGCAAGCUUCCAGCUCGCUUAUCUAUGUCUGCAGCUCAAUCUUACAGGCUGCUCUUUGUUAAAAAGAAAUAAUUUGGGGGUUUUUAUUAAAAGGAAAACUUUACCAAGGACUGUUUUUGCCCUCACUCACUAUCUGCCUAAAUUAUUUAUUUAUUUAUUCAUUUUUGUUUUUGUUGAGAUGGAUUCUCGCUGUCGCCCAGGCUGGAGUGCAGUGGCGUGAUCUCCGCCCACUGCAGGCUCCGCCCCCCAGGUUCAUGCCGUUCUCCUGCUUUUAACUCCUGUAUCAAUAAUAGUUAAUGUCAUGGGAAACAUUUAUAACGUAUUUGUAUGUAUGAAUAAGCAAGAUAGCAAGUUUUAACUAGUGGUUGUGUUUAAUUUAUUUAUACAAAUGUGUUGGGUGCAAGUAUAAUUUAGUUACAUGCAUAGAUUGCAUAGUGGUGAAGUCAGGGCUUUUAUGGUAUCCAUCACUCGAAUAAUGUACAUUAUAACUAUUAAGUAAUUUCUCACCAUCUACCCCACCCUACCUUCUUACUCUUUCAUGUCAGGUGUGCUGGCCCUCAAUGACCAACACAACAAAGAUAAAUUUAUUGUUUUCUGAGACUUAGACUUAGACUUAGAAUUCAAAAUCAACCUAAGAGAAAAGAUGACCCCGAGCCAAUAAAACAUUUGUUUUAUAUAUAUAUGUAUUUAUAAACACACACAUACACAGACAUGUAUAUAUAUGUGUGUGUGUAUGUGUGUGUGUAUAUAUAUAUAUUUGUUUAUACUGAAGAAACUCAUACAGAGUCUUUCCCACUGCACAAACCCAAAAGUAAAGCCACAUGGCCCUAUGCAAUAAACAUUAUGGUAAUAACUUCAAAAAAAAAAAAAAACUUCCUCCAAUGAAUGUAAAUUCGAAAAUAAAAUGAAACAACUAUUUCUCCAGAUGUGCAGAAAUCAAUAUAAAGACACAUAAAGACACAGGAAACACAGAAAAGCAAGGCUUAUGACACUUUCAAAGGAACACAAUAAUUCUCCAGUACUCUAAGAAAAAAAAAUUCAUUGAAAUGGCUUUAAAAUACUUUAAAAAGACUUCAAAAUAUAGAUUUUAAAGAAACUCAAAGAGAGGCAAGAGAAAUCUGAAAACCAGUACAAAAAUAAAUAAAUAAAUUUAGAGUCCAAAUGGGAAAUGUUCCAAGGAGAUAGAUAUCUUUUAAUAGAAACUGAAACAAAAAUUAUGGAACUGAAGAUUUAUUGCAGGCAAAAGAAAAUACAUUCAAAGAUUCAAUAAUAGACUGGAAGAAACAUAAAAAUAAUUUUCAAACCUUUAAACAGGUCUUUUAAAAUAAUACACUCAGACAAAAAUAAGGAGAAAAGAAUAAAAAAGAAUGAAGACUUUGUUUCCAACUACAUGAAGUAACUAAACUUUAAAAUUAUCAGUGUUUCUGAGGAAGAAAAAACAUCAAAAAGUUUAGAAAACCUAUUUAAGAAAACAAUUGAUGAAAACUUUCCAACUCUAGCAAUAGAAUUAGACAUACAUACACAGGAAGCUCAGCAAACAAAAUACAACAAAAUAUAAACAAAAUAUAUUGCAAAACAGACAUCAUAAUGGCACAUGAUAAUCAGAAUAUCUAAAGUCAAAGUGAAGGAAGUAAUUCUAAAAUAAGCAAAAGAAAAGCAUCUAGUAAUUUAUAAAGAAAACCACAUUAGAUUAAAAGCAGACUUCUCAGCAGAAACUUUACUGACCAGAAGAGAAUGGGAUGGCACUUUUAGAGUGUUGAAAAAAAAGAAAACUGCCAGCCAAAAAUUUUAUAUCAAGCUAGAAUAACCUUCACAAAUGAAGAAUAUAAAGUCUUACCCUGACAAAUAAAUGCUGGGGAAACUAAUUACCACUAGACUGGGCCUAUGAAAGAUGUUAAAAAAAAUUCUAAUAUAAAAACAAGAGAUUGAUAUUCACCAUUAUUAAAAUAUAUAAAAGUAUAAAACUAACAGGUCUUACAAAACAAAACAAAGUGAAAUAAAUCAAAUCACAACAUGACAGAAUUUUAUUAAACUACAAAGACAGAUAAAAAAAUAAGACAAGAAAAUAAUUAACAUUAUGAUAGUAACAAAACCUUACAUAUUAAUAUUUACCUUGAAUAUAAAUAAAUUAAAUCCUUCAUUGAAAUGUAUAGAUUUGGUUGGGUGCGGUGGCUCACGCCUGUAGUCCCAGCACUUUGGGAGGGUGAGGUGAGGGUAUCACGAGGUCAAGAGAUCAAGACCAGCCUGGUGAAUAUGAUGAAACCCCGUCUCUUCUGAAAAUACAAAAAUUAGCUGAGCGUGGUGGUGUGUGCCUGUAGUCCCAGCUACUCAGGAGGCUGAGACAGGAGAAUCACUUCAAUAGGGGAGGCAGAGGUUGCAGUGAGCAGUGGGACGAGAUCGCGCCACUGCACUCCAGCCUGGCGAUGGAGCAAGACUCCGUCUCAAAAAAAAAAAAAAAGUAUAGAUUUAUGAAAUGAAUGAGAAAAAAUAACGCAAAUCUAUGUUGCCUACAAAAAUCUCACCUUACUUGUAAGACACAUAUAGAUUAAAGGCAAAUGGGGGGGAAUAUAUUAACACAAACAGAAACCAAAAGUAAAUAGGAGUAUCUAUACUUACAUCAAAUAAAACAGACUUUAAAUUAAAAAGCUGUAACAAAAAAGGAUAAAGAUCAUCAUCCAAUAAUAAAGAAAUCAUUUCAGCCAAAAGAUAUAACAAUUCUAAAUAUAUAUGAACCCAACAUCACAGCACCCUGAUUUACAAAGAAAUAUUAUUAAAUCUAUAGAACGAGAUAGACAGUAAUACAAUAAUAGUGGAGAAAUUCAACAUUCUACUCACAGCAUUAGAGAGACCAUUGAGAUAGGAAAUCUGGCAAAUCAACAAAGUAUCCCCCCAAAUCAAAAUUAUACGAACUACCUACUUAGACCACAGUAGAAUAAAACUACAAAUCAGUAUCAAGAGAAAUUUCAGAAACUAUAAAUUUACAAAGAAUUUAAAUAACAUACUCCUCAACAGUGACUAUGUAAAUGAAGUAAUUAUGAUGGUUGACCAGGGGUGGUGGCUCCCACCUGUAAUCCCAGCACUUUGGGAGGCUGAGACAGGUGGACCACCUGAGGUAAGAAGUUUAACACUAGCCUGGGCAACAUGGCAAAACCCUGUCCCUACAAAAAAAAAUAUGAAAAAAUAGCUAGGUGUGGUGGUGUGCACCUAUGGUCCUAGCUACUCGGGAGGCUAAUAUAAAACGAUCGUUUGAGCCUGGAAGGCAGAAGUUGCAGUGAGCCAACACUGUGCCACUACACUCCAGCCUGGGUGACAGUGUAAAACCUAUCUCAAAAAAAAAAAAAAAAAAUUAAGAUGAAAAUUAAAAAUUUGUGGGAAAAAAGAUGGAAAUAGAAACACAAUAUAAUAAAACCUGUGAGAUACAUCAAAUGUAGUACUAAAAGGGAAGUUAAUAGCCUAAAGGCCUGCAUCAAAAAAAUAGAAAGCUUACAUAUUAAGGACCUGACAUCACAUUUCAAAGAACUAGAAAAUUAAUAACAAAUCAAAUCCCAAGUUAGAAGAGGAAAUAAAUAAAAAUCAGAACACAACCAAAUGACAUGAAGUCCAAAAACAAUAAAAAUGACCAACAGAAUAAAGAGUUGGUUUUUCAAAAAGACAAAAUUGGUAAAUUGCUAGCUAGAUUAACCACAAAUAGAAUAGAAAUCUAAAUAAACAAAUCAGAUAUAAAAGAACAGACAUUACAAUGGAUACAACAGUAAUACAGAAGAUCACUAGAAACGAUUAUAAACAACUAGACACUCACAAACCUGAAAACCUAGAAAGAAUGAAUAAAUCCAUGGAAACAAACAACCUCCCAAGAUAGAGUCGGGAAGAAAUAGAGUACCUGAACAAACCAAUACUGAGUAGCAUGAUUGAGUCAGCAAUAAAAAAAAAUGUCUUGACAAAGAAAAGCUCAGGACUAAAUGCACAGCAAAAUUCUACCAAGUGUACAAACAAUAAUAAUCCUCCUGAAACUCUUACCAAAAAUUGAGGAUAAUAAAACUCUUCCUAAGUCACUCAGAGGUCAGUAUCACCCUGAUACCAAAACUAGCCAAGGACACAACAAAGAAAACUAUUAUUAAAUUAUUAUUUAUUAUAUUAUUAUUAUAAAAAAUAGACAAAUGGAAAUCAAACUAAAAGUUUUGGCACAGAAAAAAAAAUCAGCAGGGUAAAUAUGCAAGCUACAGAAUAAAAGAAAAUAUUUGCAAACUACGUGCCAACAUGGAACUAAUAUUCAGUACUUACAAAUAACUCAAACAACUCAAAAAUAUAAUAAUAGUAAUAAUAAAGAAUUCUAUUGACAAUUGAGCAAAUAACAUUACUAAUCAUUUUUCAAUAAAGACAUACAAAUAGCCAACACGCAUAUGAAAAAAAUGCUCAAUCUCAACUAAAAAUAAAACUGCCAUUUUUUUUUUUUUUUUUGAGACGGAGUCUUAGUUGUCCAGGCUGGAGUGCAGUGGUACGAUCUCAGCUCACUGCAACCACUGACUCCCAGGUUCAAGCAAUUCUUCUGUGUCAGCCUCCUGAGGAGUUGGGGCUGCAGGCAAGUGCCACCACGCCUGGCUAACUUUUGUAUUUUUAGUAGAGACGGGGUUUCACCAUAUCGCUCAGGCUGGUCUCAAACUUCUGACCUCAUGACCUGCCCGCCUCUACCUCCCAAAGUGUUGGGAUUACAGGCGUGAGCUACCACGCCUGGCCAGAACUAUCAUUUGAUUCAGAAAUCUCAUCAUUGGGUAUCUACCCAAAGAAAAAUAGUUUAUUAUAUGAAAAUGAUACGUAUACUUGCACAUUUAUUGCAGCAUGCUCACAACAGCAAACUGUAUAUAUCAGAAAAGCUUAAUAUUCAAAAUAUAUAGAAAAUUCAAAGCAAAAGCAAGUAUAAUAAUAACAAUAAUAAUCCAACUAAAAAAUGGUUGAAAGAGUGAAAAAAAUAUUUUGCCAACAAAUAUAUACAAAUGACCAAUAGAUAUAUAAAAAAGUGCUCAAUAUCACCUACCAAAAGGCAACUGCAAAUGAAAACAAUGAUGAGCUAUCACUCGAAAUCUGUUAGGAUUGCUAAUAUUAAAAAAAAAUAGAGAAGUAACAUCUGUCAUUCAUGUUCCUGUGAUUUCUGAAACAAAUCUUAAUAUCACCACUCCUCUUACACAUUUCAGACAUGAUGGGAAAAGAAACGUUAAAUGAUCUAACAUGCAGUUCCUCUAAAAUACUCAGAAAUAUUCUUAUACUCCCCCAAAACAAUGGAAGAGCAGGCAUAUCAUGCAGCACCUUAUAAGCCAUAAAGAGGACUUUAGCUCUCACGGUACCCUCUAAGGAAAAUCACUAAAUAGGAAGUAGGAUCCUUAAAGAAUUUAAGGGUAUGGGACAAAAGAUGCUCCUAUUUGGGAGCUAGAGAAAUAAAUGGCUUUUUAGGAAACCUUUCCAUGGAAGCAGAGCAUUCUAUACCACAUUUUAAGGUCUGAAAUUCUUUCUGACCUUCGUAUCCCUCGUCUCUGUUAUCUGCUUCAUUCAUGCUUACCUACCUGAGAAGCUGACUACUGUCUCAUGUCUCUUCACAUUCCAGGGCUCUUUUAUUUGCUCAAAGCAGGAUAUCAGAUCAGAGUUAGAGACAGCAAGGCCUGUUUUGUUAGAAAAAUUAGCAUGACUUUCUGGGAUCCUCCAGUUACCAACCUAGUACUAUGUUCAGUAGAGAGGAGAGAAUAUUAUGAAAGAUUCUAGAAAUUUAAUUCCAAAAUACUGUUUUCUGACAGAAACUUUUGAAUAUUUAAAACAUACGUGACAUUUCUGGGUCCUUAGCUCUACUAUCCAAUACUGAAUAUAAAAUUAGUGCUGGAUAUUGGAUUUUAAUAUUUGUGCAACAGUAUUUAAUGCCACUGAAUUUCUAGAAUUAUCAUUAAUCUAGAGUGAAGGAUACAGAUUAGCUCAAGAGAGGGGAAGUUUCCUGUUAAAACAUCUUGAAGAUUUUCUU
RNAcentral lists this long non-coding RNA (10541 nucleotides) under Homo sapiens (human). RNAcentral describes it as "HSALNT0257481". Lineage: Eukaryota; Metazoa; Chordata; Mammalia; Primates; Hominidae. The record is from RNAcentral.